CAUCAAUCAUCCGGAAUUGUUUCGAGUAUAAAAAAAUGUAUAAACGCAAUUCAUACGGGGAAUCUGCGUUCAUUUCUGCCGACUUGCAAGGAUUCUUCCACGAAUCAUUUAAUCCUGCUAUGCGAUAAAAGGCUAAGAGUAUAUUCAUUGCAUCCUGCUGCGCUUAAUUAAUAACAAGGUCACAAGAUGGAAGAAACGAUUUGUUAAACAAAAAAUUAAUAAGAAACAGAAUUUUCUUCUUUGAAAAAGUUUUUAAUAAAUAAAGGGAACAA
Molecule: long non-coding RNA, 272 nt
Organism: Apis florea (little honeybee)
Lineage: Eukaryota; Metazoa; Arthropoda; Insecta; Hymenoptera; Apidae
Source: RefSeq, a predicted model, not a curated record